AUUGAACGCUGGCGGCAGGCCUAACACAUGCAAGUCGAGCGGAUGAAGGGAGCUUGCUCCUGGAUUCAGCGGCGGACGGGUGAGUAAUGCCUAGGAAUCUGCCUGGUAGUGGGGGAUAACGUCCGGAAACGGGCGCUAAUACCGCAUACGUCCUGAGGGAGAAAGUGGGGGAUCUUCGGACCUCACGCUAUCAGAUGAGCCUAGGUCGGAUUAGCUAGUUGGUGGGGUAAAGGCCUACCAAGGCGACGAUCCGUAACUGGUCUGAGAGGAUGAUCAGUCACACUGGAACUGAGACACGGUCCAGACUCCUACGGGAGGCAGCAGUGGGGAAUAUUGGACAAUGGGCGAAAGCCUGAUCCAGCCAUGCCGCGUGUGUGAAGAAGGUCUUCGGAUUGUAAAGUACUUUAAGUUGGGGGGAAGGGCAGUAAGUUAAUACCUUGCUGUUUUGACGUUACCAACAGAAUAAGCACCGGCUAACUUCGU
This 483-nucleotide ribosomal RNA is filed under the name uncultured bacterium. RNAcentral describes it as "partial 16S ribosomal RNA". It matches the Rfam family "Bacterial small subunit ribosomal RNA", at positions 30 to 506 of the family's 1533-position model. The record is from RNAcentral.